GUAGGUGAACCUGCGGAAGGAUCAUUACCAUUUAUCCAAAACACUUUAUCAACCCCUUUGUAUGUGAAUCCUCAGAAACGUAUUUUUGGGGGAAGGGACGGGAAACCAAAAAGAGAAAAAAAGGAAAACAAAAUAUAUAUAUACUUGAAGAAGAAGAAAGGAUAUAGGGGCGAGAAGUUUAUUUUUUUAAAUUUCUCACUCUCUUUUUCUUUCUUUCUUUCUUUUGGGUUUUUUUGUUUCUCUCUCUUCU
This 250-nucleotide unclassified non-coding RNA is filed under the name plant metagenome. Its description in RNAcentral is "partial contains small subunit ribosomal RNA, internal transcribed spacer 1, and 5.8S ribosomal RNA". The record is from RNAcentral.